UUUCAAGUCGGGCCUGCCCUAUGAAAUUUAAAUGGCUGCAGUAUAUUGACUGUACAAAGGUAGCAUAAUCAUUAGUUUUUUAAUUGAAAACUUGUAUGAAAGGUUUAAUGAGAAAAUUACUGUCUCAUUUUUAAUUUAUUAAAAUUUUAUUUUUAAUUUAAAAAGAUUAAAUAUUUUAGAAAGACGAGAAGACCCUAUAGAGUUUUAUUGUAAGUUGAAGUAUUAAUUUAUAGAUUUUUAUAUAAUAUUUUUCAGUCAAUUUUAUUGGGGUGAUAUAAAAAUUUAAUGAACUUUUUAUUUAAAUUACAUUAAUUUAUGAAUUAUUUGAUCAUUUUUUAGGAUUAAAAGAAAAAAUUACCUUAGGGAUAACAGCGUAAUUUAUUUUUAAAGUUCUAAUUGGAAAAUAAGAUUGCGACCUCGAUGUUGGAUUAAAAAAUAAAAUUGGUGCAAAAGCUAAAUUUUUAAGUCUGUUCGACUUUUAAAAUUUUACA
Molecule: ribosomal RNA, 491 nt
Filed under: Anaspis thoracica
Lineage: Eukaryota; Metazoa; Arthropoda; Insecta; Coleoptera; Scraptiidae
Description: partial 16S ribosomal RNA
Rfam family: Bacterial large subunit ribosomal RNA
Source: RNAcentral